CCCAGGCAAAAAGCCCAGUUACCUCUGGCCACUGCAGUUUGGCUCAUCAUCAGGGAACCUUUGCCUCCUCCAAGAUCAAGGCACCACUCCAUUAACAGUCAGAAAGAGGUUUCAUGAGGGUACAGGCACCUCCAGUUUAUCCAGGUCUUCUCACGGGAGCCGGUAGCCAAUGAGGGUAAUGAUAGAGCUUUCUGGACAUGAGUCCAGUUCUGUCUUGCCACCGUGAAUGCAAGCUCUAUUAAUCAACUUUCUUGGCUGGCCUCCACCCACAACUCCAGGGACUGAGCCACAGUGCCUAUUAGCUCCUAUAUGGGAAGCUCUGAAAAGCUGAGAAAACUUUCCUAACAAUUCUGCCAGGAGCCAACUGAAGCUUGGAACUCCAAGGAAUGCUAAAGCUAUAGCCCGAGGACCUCUGGGGCCAUAUCUCCCAGGAAGAUCUUGCCUCCUCACUGAAGCUCCUGGCCUGGCCUCCUGCAGUGCCACACUCCGUGUAUUUGACAAGCUGAGUUGGACACUCCAUGUGGUAGAGUGUCAGUUUGUCAAAUACCCCAAGUGCGGCAUAUGCCUAACAGCUCCAAGCCAGGGCAGUUGGGAUACAACAAACAAAUUGCCAGCUGAAUACAAGAUCACUCUCCAAACACAAACUAAACUUUCACAAGUUAUUUUCAGUGACUUGAGGGAACUGAAGCAUUGUAUCUGAGGGUGCCAGGGGAAAAGUGAGGCAACUCUUGAAGCCACAGAUCUGGAAUGUUUCUACACACAUUGUCAGAGCCCAAGCAGGACAUAAUGGUCUUGAAAAGGUAUAUGGAAUCCAGGGAUGGAAGUGCUCUUUGAUUUGUAUUUUUUUUCUUCACAUUCCUCUUACAGAGUCUCCUAGAAAGGACACCAGAAUUCUCACACAAGCUUCAUGAUAGGGCUUAGAAACCCACUUUCCUGACACUCAGCCUUGGCUUCUAGACACACUUUGACCUUAUCUUUCUCUUCUUCUUCAUGUCUUUUCUCCUUCUGGUAAUACUUUAUCUAUUUUUUUUUCUGCCUACUCAAUUAUUUCUCAUACUUCUGGCUCAGAAAAAUUCCAGUCUCUCCAAGGACUUUUGAAAGUCAACCUACACCUUUUUUCUUCUUCAUUUGAAGAACACACCUUGCCUUAGCCCUUGUAUGUACCCAUUUCUUCUAUUGUCCAAUGGCACUUCUUGCAUUAUUAAUAAACUUUUGCAGUGGAUUUUUUUUCAACAUUUAUUUAUGUUUUUGGGAGAGAGAGAGACAGAGCAUGAACAGGAGAGGGGCAGAGAGAGAGGGAGACACAGAAUCGGAAACAGUCUCCAGGCUCUGAGCCAUCAGCCCAAAGCCUGACGCGGGGCUCGAACUCACGGACCGCGAGAUCGUGACCUGGCUGAAGUCGGACGCUUAACCGACUGCACCACCCAGGCGCCCCUGCAGUGGAUAUUUUUAAUUCCCCCCCAUGAAAUUGUGAGGAAAAUACUGUUUUCUUGAAUUGCUGUCUCCCCUUUCUAUCCCUACACCCAGUAGCUCUGGUUGCAGAAAAUAAUACAUCUUUACUGAUUGACUUUCUACUAGGCUAUUAUCCUUGGAUUUGGGUGAAGAUGCUAUUCAGAAAUUUGUGAAAAAAAUUAAACUGUGGUCACCAUAAUGCUAUAGGAUAUGUGAGGUAAUAAUCAACAUUGAGGGAUUCUCCUCCUGAGAAAUAGGGUCAAGGAAUGAAAUGGAAAAGCAAAAACAUAUGCUCAGAGGACAAAUAUGUUUUGAAAUUAUUUGGUAACUCAAAGUUAUACAGGUGUUUUAUUGCAGAAUUUUCAGUGUCUUUAAUUUUCUAAUGUUGCAUUGGAAAUCUCAAGUAGAAAGAUUUACAGAAUGAAGCAUUUUUUAUUCCUAUCUAAUUGUGGAUUCCCCCCCCCCUCCCAGGGCCAUCUCUUGGUCAGAAUCUGGGAAAAUGCCCUAGAGGGACUCCAUGUCUUCUGUCUCUCUUUUGGAGAUCUGCUUUUUUUUUUUCUCUUCCAGCUUUCCCUGAAUGGCUAUCUGCCUAAGACAAAUUCUGUUAUCAUCCCAUGUUUGUUUAGCCUAUCCUACAGUUUUGAGAUAACCCUGUACCUAUGACUCUCUUACUGACUUGUCUUGUAUGGAAAAAAAAAUAUUAGUUUUCGGGCAAAGAUGAUUCCUACUGCAAUGAAUAUAUGAUCCUAACAGUUCACAGGCCUGUUUUCUGGUCUCUCCUCUAUCACUGACUUGAUGUAUGUGAUUUUAUACUGUCAUGUCCUUCUCUAGGAUGUAUUUCCUCAUAUGUAAUAUGGGAGAAUUAAAAUUAAUAAUCUCCAAGAUUUCUAAGA
Prionailurus viverrinus (fishing cat) is the source of this 2345-nucleotide long non-coding RNA. RefSeq lists it as uncharacterized. The transcript is spliced from 4 exons. Lineage: Eukaryota; Metazoa; Chordata; Mammalia; Carnivora; Felidae. The record is from RefSeq and is a predicted model, not a curated record.